This is a non-coding RNA of Stegodyphus mimosarum, 73 nucleotides long. NCBI's taxonomy places the organism in Eukaryota, Metazoa, Arthropoda, Arachnida, Araneae, Eresidae. The record is from Rfam.
GCCUCCGUGGUGUAAUGGCCAGAACACUCGGCAUGCAUUCGAGAGGUCCGAGGUUCGAGUCCCGGUGAGGGCA